GAUGGCCACAUCACGUUGGGACACUGGUUACCUUACGAUAACGGAAGUUAAGCAACGUCGAGCCUAGUCAGUACCUAGAUGGGUGACUGCUAGGAAAUACCAGGUGAUGUA
Molecule: non-coding RNA, 111 nt
Organism: Acanthosepion pharaonis
Lineage: Eukaryota; Metazoa; Mollusca; Cephalopoda; Sepiida; Sepiidae
Source: the annotation of a GenBank genome assembly